Molecule: long non-coding RNA, 1290 nt
Filed under: Homo sapiens (human)
Lineage: Eukaryota; Metazoa; Chordata; Mammalia; Primates; Hominidae
Description: testis expressed 41
Source: RNAcentral
AGACCUAUGAAGGUCGAAGGGGAAGAAAAGCUGUAUCGAUUGUUGAGAUCUGGCGACUUGUUUAAAUUUCAUCAGCCUCACUUCUAUGAACUCUCAGAGCUGAUUACCAACUCCUACCACUGUUAACCCUCAUCCAGGAACAAGCUUAUGUCUUUAACAUUCUGAGUGGGCUUCAGCAUCCUUGCAUAUGUUCAAUUCUUAAAAACCUGUUGAAAUAAAAGAUCAGGAGACAUAGGAAGGAUGCCAGAAGAGAGCGUGGCCUCACGUGUACCAGCUCUCUGCUCUCCUUUGCCUUGGGACGUUCCAUCCCUGGAAGUUUCCCUGCCCACAUCUUUGUAGAGAGUCCAUUCUCCAAGCUUCAGUGUGUCAUCUGUGAGGACCGUGACCCACCUGGUACAUCGCCUCAGGGCAUUCAUUUCAGGCUCCUUCUAAAUGGCCAAGUUUUCAAGAUUGUUUUGGCUCUAGCAAAACAAGUUGGAACAUUCACAUCAUCCAAGCUGCAGCAAGCUGUUCGUCAGAGUCAUCUUUGGUGACUAUCUGCCUACAGGCAUUCCUUUGCACUCUGGGUGUAGCCCUCAGUGCUGGGCUUACAAAGAAGACGACACAAAAGCAACCAUGAAAAGAUCUUGGAAGCAGAGGGAUCUGCAGAAGUGCUUGCAACACUUUCAGCCUUAACCAGCAUCAGAGACAAAAAUCCUUUCUGGAAUGAGGUAAACCUCAGGUUCUCCUCCUGCCUUUUGCUAAGUAUAUGUCUUGAUGACAAGCCUUCUGCUGAUGAGCUGUGUUUCUGGACCGAUCAUGGUAGAAGUCAAUUAACGUGUCCCUCACUUGGGGUUUCUCAAGGCUGCACUGAUGAGGAAACUGAAACAGAAAAUCCAGAGUAAAUUCCACCAGGCCACACAGCAAGGUCUGAUAGAGCCAGGAGAGACUUUAUGAAAUCCAGACUCUCACACUAAUGCUCUAUCAGCUAGACCUCCAUGUGAGUCUCCCCAAUGUAGGUAGGAAGUGCUUUCCCUAAAAUGCUCAUAAAGCAAAUCAGAGCAAUGCUGCAUUCCAUGUGAUUUCUAAUUUGAAAUGCAAACAAUUGCCAAUUUGUUUGACUUGUAUUUAUAAUUAUUUCCUUGUGAAUUACUCAUCACUAAAUGCUUUAUAAAUAUUUUCUCUUUUUUUCCUCAAUGUCUAUGGAAUGAUCACAGCAUAGAAAAUGUUGGCUUUCAAGGAUUUAUUAAUAUCUCCUUUUGAAAUAACAUGUAUUUGUAAGACAGAAUAAAAUCACUUUAAAGAAACAAA